AACGCACAUUGCGCCCUUUGGUAUUCCGAAGGGCAUGCCUGUUCGAGCGUCAUUAUCACCGCUCAAGCCCUCGGCUUGGUGUUGGACGGUUUGGUGGAGGCCCCCUCGGGGGCUCCUGCCCCUCCCAAAGACAAUGACGGCGGCCUCGUUGGACCCCCGGUACACUGAGUUCUUCACGGGACACGUAUCGGACACAUGGGUUUACGGGACACGGUCUGCCUCCCCUCAGGGAGAAUCUUUCUAAGGUUGACCUCGGAUCAGGUAGGGAUACCCGCUGAACUUAA
This 284-nucleotide unclassified non-coding RNA is filed under the name uncultured Exophiala. RNAcentral describes it as "sequence contains ITS2". The stretch from base 1 to 52 matches the Rfam family "5.8S ribosomal RNA", at positions 103 to 154 of the family's 154-position model. Lineage: Eukaryota; Fungi; Ascomycota; Eurotiomycetes; Chaetothyriales; Herpotrichiellaceae. The record is from RNAcentral.